AAUUUUGGACAAUGGGGGAAACCCUGAUCCAGCCAUCCCGCGUGUAUGAUGAAGGCCUCCGGGUUGUAAAGUACUUUUGGCAGAGAAGAAAAGGUAUCUCCUAAUACGAGAUACUGCUGACGGUAUCUGCAGAAUAAGCACCGGCUAACUACUUGCCAGCAGCCGCGGUAAUACGGAGGGUUCAAGUGUUAAACGGAAUUACUGGGGGUAAAGCGCGCGUAGGUGGUGUGUUAAGUUCGAAGUGAAAGCCCCGGGCGCAACCUGGGAACUGCAUUUUUAACUGCCGAGCUAGAGUAUGUCAGAGGGGGGUAGAAUUCCACGUGUAGCAGUGAAAUGCGUAGAUAUGUGGAGGAAUACCGAUGGCGAAGGCAGACCCCUGGGAUAAUACUGACGCUCAGAAACGAAAGCGUGGGGAGCAAACA
This 422-nucleotide ribosomal RNA is filed under the name uncultured bacterium. RNAcentral's name for it is "partial 16S ribosomal RNA". It matches the Rfam family "Bacterial small subunit ribosomal RNA", at positions 360 to 774 of the family's 1533-position model. The record is from RNAcentral.